CCUACGGGGAGCUGCAGUGGGGGAUAUUGGACAAUGGGCGAAAGCCUGAUCCAGCCAUGCCGCGUGUGUGAAGAAGGCCUUCGGGUUGUAAAGCACUUUCAGUGGGGAAGAAAGCCUUGGGGCUAAUACCCUCGAGGAAGGACAUCACCCACAGAAGAAGCACCGGCUAACUCCGUGCCAGCAGCCGCGGUAAUAUGGAGGGUGCGAGCGUUAAUCGGAAUUACUGGGCGUAAAGCGCGCGUAGGCGGUCUGAUAAGCCGGUUGUGAAAGCCCCGGGCUCAACCUGGGAACGGCAUCCGGAACUGUCAGGCUAGAGUGCAGGAGAGGAAGGUAGAAUUCCCGGUGUAGCGGUGAAAUGCGUAGAGAUCGGGAGGAAUACCAGUGGCGAAGGCGGCCUUCUGGACUGACACUGACGCUGAGGUGCGAAAGCGUGGGUAGCAAACAGGAUUAGAUACCCGAGUAGUC
RNAcentral lists this ribosomal RNA (465 nucleotides) under Vreelandella stevensii. Its description in RNAcentral is "partial 16S ribosomal RNA". It matches the Rfam family "Bacterial small subunit ribosomal RNA", at positions 338 to 795 of the family's 1533-position model. The record is from RNAcentral. Lineage: Bacteria; Pseudomonadati; Pseudomonadota; Gammaproteobacteria; Oceanospirillales; Halomonadaceae.